UUUUCUACGGUUUCUUUGGCC
Molecule: non-coding RNA, 21 nt
Filed under: Caenorhabditis elegans
Lineage: Eukaryota; Metazoa; Nematoda; Chromadorea; Rhabditida; Rhabditidae
Source: RNAcentral